UACGUAGGGUCCGAGCGUUGUCCGGAAUUACUGGGCGUAAAGCGUGCGUAGACGGUUACGUAAGUCGGGUGUGAAAUCCCCGGGCUCAACCUGGGAACUGCAUCUGUGACUGCAUCGCUGGAGUGCGGCAGAGGGGGAUGGAAUUCCGCGUGUAGCAGUGAAAUGCGUAGAUAUGCGGAGGAACACCGAUGGCGAAGGCAAUCCCCUGGGCCUGCACUGACGCUCAUGCACGAAAGCGUGGGGAGCAAACAGG
RNAcentral lists this ribosomal RNA (253 nucleotides) under uncultured bacterium. RNAcentral's name for it is "partial 16S ribosomal RNA". It matches the Rfam family "Bacterial small subunit ribosomal RNA", at positions 524 to 776 of the family's 1533-position model. The record is from RNAcentral.